UAAACAGGGAUGAAUGACAUGGAGCCUGUU
RNAcentral lists this non-coding RNA (30 nucleotides) under Mus musculus (house mouse). The record is from RNAcentral. Lineage: Eukaryota; Metazoa; Chordata; Mammalia; Rodentia; Muridae.